Durio zibethinus is the source of this 3721-nucleotide non-coding RNA. The record is from RefSeq and is a predicted model, not a curated record. NCBI's taxonomy places the organism in Eukaryota, Viridiplantae, Streptophyta, Magnoliopsida, Malvales, Malvaceae.
UACUUAGUGGUGUUUUAUAUUUAAGAAGGCCUCCAAUUUGCAUGGUAAGUUUCCAAAAAAUCAAAAAUCGACCCAGCCCCAUCUUUUCCCCUUUUUCCUUUCUACCAUUCGAUUCCUUUCUGUCAUUCUCUACUGUAAAUUUCCCUCUCGAUUUUCCUUUAUUUUCCCUUCCUUUUCUUUUCUCAUUCUUUUCCUUCAAUUUUGCUUCCACCAAAUAACUAAUUUAGCAAAAUUGUGCUAUAACCCAUUUCGGCAACCAUUGGCAGUAAGGCAAAUACCAGUUCAAUCGACGGUGAUUUCUUGGUUAUACAUUUAGCUUUGCUCUCAUUUUGAUGAUUUCUUCCAUGUGGAAUGUGUAAGUCUGUUUGUUGGAAGAAAAUCGAGCCCUAGAAUUCGAGGAAAAAGAAGUUAAUUUGAUGGGUAGCAACAGCGGCUAUUGGGUAUUUGCACAGGUAGGGUUUUAAGUAGAGUUCACUUGGAUACAAAGGAGAAAGAAAAAGAUAUAUGUAUAGAGAAUGAGGAAAAAGAUACUGACUUCUAAAUUCUUGUCAAAUUCUUGAUCUGACUUCUAAAUUACUCUUAAAAGUUACCUUUUUGAGCAGUUUAAUUUCAGUAGAUAUUGAAUUUCAUUCUCUGCAAAAUUGUAUCCCUAUGGUCCCUCUGAUGCUUCGCUGCUUAAACUAAUAAGGAAGGUUAGUGCUCAACUAUAUGGUGUUGCUUUUUUAUUUGUUCUAUGCCAACGAUUAAUCUGCUAGGCACAAGUGUUAACUAAUAUUAGACCAUUUAUCUCCAGAUUUUAUGUCAUACUGCUAGCUCUUGAUAUCUUCUACUAUUUUCUUUGACACUACAACUUCAAUAACCAUUCUCAAGUUACUUCAACAAUCCACAAGCAAUAAAUUUGACAAUAGAUGGAUAGGGUUGGGUUCAUACAGGAGAUCUUGGAUACUUUGAUGAGGAUGGGAAUCUCUAUGUUGUUGACAGAAUUAAAAAGUUGAUCAAGUAUAAAGGUUUCUCGGUAACUUAUUUGAUUGCAUUUUUUUUAUAAAAUUAAUAUGGCUAAUUUGCAUUUUCUAUCAAAUAAAAUUUUGGUGAAAAGAAAGACUCCUCAAUCUUCAUGAAUAUUAAUGUCAAAAGGGAUAGAGAUAUACAUAAUAGUUUCUACAUCCAAGAAUUGGCUAAAUUAUCCUCUAUUCCUUUAGGAACAAUUUUAAUAGAAUUGUAGUAGAAAAAUAACUAAUGAGCAUUUUUUUAUGGUUUUCCUUAGUUAAUAUAUCUUCCUUAGAAGUAUUUCCUAGAAUAAAAUUGAUUCACAUAAGCAGUUAUUUAGAGUUGUCUACUUUUAUAUGAGUAUAUAAAUAUAUGAUUCUAUUUUCAAUUGAAUGAUAGGAAAAAAAAUUAUUCUAUUGUCUUUUGACUAGAUCUAUUAAUAUGAAAAUCAUCCUUUCAAGUAGAGUAUCUGCAUAGAAACUUUUAGAAAACGCAAUGGAUCUAUUGAAUAGCAAAAACGCAAUUUAAAGCCAAGAGUCAAGAACUAGCUAAGUCUACUGAACUUUUAUUGAGAAGUUCUCUUUUUGUGUAAAGGCAAGCUAAGAACUAGUUUGGCUAGCUAAUUGACUGUAAAUGGCAUUAUAAUUAAUGGAACAUGAAAAUUAAAUAACAAGAAGAUUAAUACAGAAACCAAACUCAGAUAAAUGAACAAACAAACUAAAACUGAAAAUUAAUGGAGUAGUAAAGCAGUAGCAUGAAAAUAAAAAAAAAAAAUUUAAAACACUUGUUUCAAGUAAAAAGGCCUCCUAGGUGAAUGCUGAACCUAAUAGCAAUCUUGUACCAUCCUUAUCAACCCCCAAACAGCCAUGAAAAAUCAAAGAAACAACAACCCAAAACAAUCAUCAAAAACUGGAAACUGGUUCUGAACAGCAUCUGAUUAAAAUUCGGUUUCCACUCUCAUUUGAUAGUAUUUGAUCUCCAAUUUUUUUUGGAAGUAACUAACUAAUAUGUGAACAUGCACAUAAAUUUUCAAGAGCAUUGGACAUCAUUUAGUACUUGAAAUUUAACCAAAACCGUAGCAAAACAAAAUCUGAAAUUUCAGCUUGGAAAACAGAACAGCUGCUACUAAAUCUUAGAUCUGGCUCAAAAUAUAUGGAAUUUUGCUCUCAAAUUUUAUAGAAGCUUAGAUAACUCAUAGAUGAACAAGUACUAAAAAGCUUGAUACAGAUUGAAACCAAAUUGAACUUGAAAAGUAACAAAAACCGAAAUUAAAUAAAAUCUGAAGACAGAACAACAUUCUGGAAACAGCUUUUAAAAAAAUAUUAAAUUUACUAGCUCAAUUAGAACUAUUUGAUCAAGAGGAAGCACUGUAAAUCAAGCUAAAAACUAGAGGAACAACAUAUAAAAAACUCAUAAUUUUUUGAAACUGAAAUCAACUUGAAAAUUAAUUAAACAGUAGCUAACAUCAAACCUAGAAACCCAAAAACUGUGUUGAAUAAACUGAAAUUGCAAGUUUAAAAGGAAAAUGUUUACUUAAAGGAACUAAAGUAGAGCUAAAUAACAAGUAAAGGAAUGUAAAAGAAACUUAAAAUAAAUUUAAAAUGAAAGGAAAAACAAAGAACAAAGACUGCACAGCCAAUAACAUAGCAGCUAUGGAGCUGCCAGCAUUUGGAGUUCCUGCUAAAAAAAAAUGCCGAGGCAUGUAUGAGGGGGGGCUCUUCUAUAGCUGAAUAAAAGCUUUUUUAAUGUUUGAUCCCAGCUUCAAAUGAUGCAAUCUCAACCUUCAAAAAUGCCAAGUCAGCUCAGAGAUAUUUUGGAAGAUAGACAAUUGCCCAUAACCAAUUCUGCACGAGCUUCAAUUUCCAGCUAGCUUCCUCUCCCAUGUGCUGCUUGUUUUGCCGGUCAAAUAAGGUGAUAGAGUAUGUCCAAUAUUUAUGAGAGAGGGUUCAAAAAUAUGAGGGUUCACACCCGGGAUGGAGUUCCUAGCCCACAAAAUUAAAGCUAUGGGUAUGUUUUUAUACUAAAUGCUUUCCGUCUUUGAGGUUUAAAUAAUAUUUUUUUGGCUUAAGCAGUUAAUUUGCGGUUUAAUAGGCAUGCUUAUGAUGAUUUGUGUAUAUCCUCUUCAUUAAGCUAUUAGGUAUUCUAUGAUUUUUUUUUUAGAUGGGAAAUUCAAUUUCAUUAGGCUUGUUAAGUAUAAAAUUGCUUAAAAUCUUUGAUAGGCAUAAAAUCUUUGGAGCAGAAAAUUGCUUAAGUAAUGAUUUUCCAUACGUUUGUGGAAUCUUUUGCACUAGUUUCCCGCCUAUUAGGGUUUAUUAUUCAACUAUAAAAAAAAAAAAAAACUUGUGGAUCAACAAACCAUUUGCUAUGAUAUUUACCUCAAAAAUCUUAGUUCCUAUUGAUUGACAAUUGCUUUUUGCGUGGUUUGCUCACUCUUUAAAAUUGCCUCUUAUUGCAAAAUGGCAAGCCAACCGGCCAUGAACAAUGCAAAGCCUCUGACAGUAUAGAUCCAAGGAUAGCCUGUUGGUAAAAAAAGUGGUUGUUGCUCUUCCUAAAAACUCAAUGAUGUAUUAGGAAGCUUUUUUUCUUUUGUAGUAUGCUACCUCUCGUGGCUUGCAAGAUUACAUGUAACUCAUCGAUGACAAAUUUAUUUGUUCUGGUUCAUUUCUACACACUUGUUCAUGUGAAAAGGCUUGUACAAUGUAUGAUUGUUGAUUUAAUAAUAAUAUUUUUGCUU